UUAAGCGACUAAGCGUACACGGUGGAUGCCCUGGCAGUCAGAGGCGAUGAAGGACGUGCUAAUCUGCGAUAAGCGUCGGUAAGGUGAUAUGAACCGUUAUAACCGGCGAUUUCCGAAUGGGGAAACCCAGUGUGUUUCGACACACUAUCAUUAACUGAAUCCAUAGGUUAAUGAGGCGAACCGGGGGAACUGAAACAUCUAAGUACCCCGAGGAAAAGAAAUCAACCGAGAUUCCCCCAGUAGCGGCGAGCGAACGGGGAGCAGCCCAGAGCCUGAAUCAGUGUGUGUGUUAGUGGGAAGCGUCUGGAAAGGCGCGCGAUACAGGGUGACAGCCCCGUACACAAAAAUGCACAUAUUGUGAGCUCGAUGAGUAGGGCGGGACACGUGGUAUCCUGUCUGAAUAUGGGGGGACCAUCCUCCAAGGCUAAAUACUCCUGACUGACCGAUAGUGAACCAGUACCGUGAGGGAAAGGCGAAAAGAACCCCGGCGAGGGGAGUGAAAAAGAACCUGAAACCGUGUACGUACAAGCAGUGGGAGCCUCUUUUAUGGGGUGACUGCGUACCUUUUGUAUAAUGGGUCAGCGACUUAUAUUCUGUAGCAAGGUUAACCGAAUAGGGGAGCCGAAGGGAAACCGAGUCUUAACUGGGCGUUAAGUUGCAGGGUAUAGACCCGAAACCCGGUGAUCUAGCCAUGGGCAGGUUGAAGGUUGGGUAACACUAACUGGAGGACCGAACCGACUAAUGUUGAAAAAUUAGCGGAUGACUUGUGGCUGGGGGUGAAAGGCCAAUCAAACCGGGAGAUAGCUGGUUCUCCCCGAAAGCUAUUUAGGUAGCGCCUCGUGAAUUCAUCUCCGGGGGUAGAGCACUGUUUCGGCAAGGGGGUCAUCCCGACUUACCAACCCGAUGCAAACUGCGAAUACCGGAGAAUGUUAUCACGGGAGACACACGGCGGGUGCUAACGUCCGUCGUGAAGAGGGAAACAACCCAGACCGCCAGCUAAGGUCCCAAAGUCAUGGUUAAGUGGGAAACGAUGUGGGAAGGCCCAGACAGCCAGGAUGUUGGCUUAGAAGCAGCCAUCAUUUAAAGAAAGCGUAAUAGCUCACUGGUCGAGUCGGCCUGCGCGGAAGAUGUAACGGGGCUAAACCAUGCACCGAAGCUGCGGCAGCGACACUAUGUGUUGUUGGGUAGGGGAGCGUUCUGUAAGCCUGUGAAGGUGUGCUGUGAGGCAUGCUGGAGGUAUCAGAAGUGCGAAUGCUGACAUAAGUAACGAUAAAGCGGGUGAAAAGCCCGCUCGCCGGAAGACCAAGGGUUCCUGUCCAACGUUAAUCGGGGCAGGGUGAGUCGACCCCUAAGGCGAGGCCGAAAGGCGUAGUCGAUGGGAAACAGGUUAAUAUUCCUGUACUUGGUGUUACUGCGAAGGGGGGACGGAGAAGGCUAUGUUGGCCGGGCGACGGUUGUCCCGGUUUAAGCGUGUAGGCUGGUUUUCCAGGCAAAUCCGGAAAAUCAAGGCUGAGGCGUGAUGACGAGGCACUACGGUGCUGAAGCAACAAAUGCCCUGCUUCCAGGAAAAGCCUCUAAGCAUCAGGUAACAUCAAAUCGUACCCCAAACCGACACAGGUGGUCAGGUAGAGAAUACCAAGGCGCUUGAGAGAACUCGGGUGAAGGAACUAGGCAAAAUGGUGCCGUAACUUCGGGAGAAGGCACGCUGAUAUGUAGGUGAAGCGACUUGCUCGUGGAGCUGAAAUCAGUCGAAGAUACCAGCUGGCUGCAACUGUUUAUUAAAAACACAGCACUGUGCAAACACGAAAGUGGACGUAUACGGUGUGACGCCUGCCCGGUGCCGGAAGGUUAAUUGAUGGGGUUAGCGCAAGCGAAGCUCUUGAUCGAAGCCCCGGUAAACGGCGGCCGUAACUAUAACGGUCCUAAGGUAGCGAAAUUCCUUGUCGGGUAAGUUCCGACCUGCACGAAUGGCGUAAUGAUGGCCAGGCUGUCUCCACCCGAGACUCAGUGAAAUUGAACUCGCUGUGAAGAUGCAGUGUACCCGCGGCAAGACGGAAAGACCCCGUGAACCUUUACUAUAGCUUGACACUGAACAUUGAGCCUUGAUGUGUAGGAUAGGUGGGAGGCUUUGAAGUGUGGACGCCAGUCUGCAUGGAGCCGACCUUGAAAUACCACCCUUUAAUGUUUGAUGUUCUAACGUUGACCCGUGAUCCGGGUUGCGGACAGUGUCUGGUGGGUAGUUUGACUGGGGCGGUCUCCUCCUAAAGAGUAACGGAGGAGCACGAAGGUUGGCUAAUCCUGGUCGGACAUCAGGAGGUUAGUGCAAUGGCAUAAGCCAGCUUGACUGCGAGCGUGACGGCGCGAGCAGGUGCGAAAGCAGGUCAUAGUGAUCCGGUGGUUCUGAAUGGAAGGGCCAUCGCUCAACGGAUAAAAGGUACUCCGGGGAUAACAGGCUGAUACCGCCCAAGAGUUCAUAUCGACGGCGGUGUUUGGCACCUCGAUGUCGGCUCAUCACAUCCUGGGGCUGAAGUAGGUCCCAAGGGUAUGGCUGUUCGCCAUUUAAAGUGGUACGCGAGCUGGGUUUAGAACGUCGUGAGACAGUUCGGUCCCUAUCUGCCGUGGGCGCUGGAGAACUGAGGGGGGCUGCUCCUAGUACGAGAGGACCGGAGUGGACGCAUCACUGGUGUUCGGGUUGUCAUGCCAAUGGCACUGCCCGGUAGCUAAAUGCGGAAGAGAUAAGUGCUGAAAGCAUCUAAGCACGAAACUUGCCCCGAGAUGAGUUCUCCCUGACCCUUUAAGGGUCCUGAAGGAACGUUGAAGACGACGACGUUGAUAGGCCGGGUGUGUAAGCGCAGCGAUGCGUUGAGCUAACCGGUACUAAUGAACCGUGAGGCUUAACCUU
RNAcentral lists this ribosomal RNA (2902 nucleotides) under Escherichia coli. RNAcentral's name for it is "bacterial LSU rRNA". It matches the Rfam family "Bacterial large subunit ribosomal RNA". Lineage: Bacteria; Pseudomonadati; Pseudomonadota; Gammaproteobacteria; Enterobacterales; Enterobacteriaceae. The record is from RNAcentral.